AUGGCGCGCUUGAACCUCGAGCACGAGUUCGAGGAGAGGCUGGAGUUGAUCCGGGCCGAGGCUGAAGGUAGGACUGCUGCCUUGAGGGCCAAGCUGGAGGAAGCGACGCGGCGGGCCGAUGCUUUUCGGGCCGCCCUUGAGGUAGCGCAAGGGGAGUCAACCACCUCUGAGGCCGAGGUGCUCCUUCUUCGCCAGCGGGUGGAGGAGGCUGAGGUCGUCGCGCGCCAGAAUGCGGACGAGAUACGUCAGCGGCGGAUCCUGGAGCAUGAGCACGGCCCCAUGCUCACCACGCUCCGGGAGAGAGCCAACACAGCCUUGGGCAACAUCUGCGAGGCGGCUGUUGGCGAGCCGCACGCAGUCAACUACGCCGGCAACCUUCAGUUCUUCACCGACGUGAUGACGCAGGUAGAGGCACGGUCGGUCAGGGCCGACAGGUUGGUGGAGGAGAGGAGCCGCACCCUGCUCGGGCGCGCCUUUUCUCGCGUCUUUAGCUAUCUCCGGAACAUGGAUCCCCACUUCGAUUUCGACGCCGCCAUCGCCCCAGUCCCCCAGGCCGUCCGAGACGACCUGGCGCACUGGAUGGAAGACAAUGUGGAUGCUCUUGUUAGGGCCCUCGCUUCAGACAACGACGGCGUGAUCGUGGCUGCCGACGAAGGCGGUGUGGUGAACGGCCCUGACGCCGCUGGCGGCGAUGCAGACAGCGAUGGCGAGUUCAGCGACGCCAGCAACGGUUCGGGUGGUGCUCCUGAGGACGCAUUGGGGGAUUUAUCCGACUGA
RNAcentral lists this ribosomal RNA (777 nucleotides) under Triticum aestivum (bread wheat). RNAcentral's name for it is "partial small subunit ribosomal RNA". Lineage: Eukaryota; Viridiplantae; Streptophyta; Magnoliopsida; Poales; Poaceae. The record is from RNAcentral.